This 253-nucleotide ribosomal RNA is filed under the name uncultured bacterium. RNAcentral describes it as "partial 16S ribosomal RNA". It matches the Rfam family "Bacterial small subunit ribosomal RNA", at positions 524 to 776 of the family's 1533-position model. The record is from RNAcentral.
UACGUAGGGGGCUAGCGUUGUCCGGAAUCAUUGGGCGUAAAGCGCGUGUAGGCGGUUCGGUAAGUCCGCUGUGAAAGUCGGGGGCUCAACCCUCGAAUGCCGGUGGAUACUGCCGGACUAGAGUACGGAAGAGGCGAGUGGAAUUCCUGGUGUAGCGGUGAAAUGCGCAGAUAUCGGGAGGAACACCAAUGGCGAAGGCAGCUCGCUGGGACGGUACUGACGCUGAGACGCGAAAGCGUGGGGAGCAAACAGG